UGUGGUUGGAUAUCAAACAAUGUAUAUCUUUUUACUUUUCAAUAACAUUUCCUGGCUACUAACGAUAGUGGCAUGAAUGCAUUGCCAUGCUAUAAUCAGUUCCAGGCUCCGUUUUGAUAGUUUAUAAUGUAAUUUCUCUGAAAGAAAUUUUAGAUAAAAUAAUUGGCAUUCUGAUCUCUGCAAGUAUGCUUCAUUUUAUAGUGAUUAAAAAAGGCCAUUUAGCUGAUUUGUCAGCCUUGUAAUAACUUGCUGUUAGAAACUCUUCAGAGUCCUUUGGAGAAGGGCCAUUUUAUACGGAUAAAGGGGGAGGAGAGCUUAAAUCUUUCUGAAGUCACUUUUUGGUCUUUGACGCAAAUCACUCAAAGACCAUGUAUAACUUAACUCCAACAUUACCUCCAAGGUAAGCAAGCUUGUUUUAGCAUCACUUUUUGAUCUCUGGACAAAUGGCUCUAUAUUUCUGUAGAUCCGUGGGGCCACCAGGAUAAGUCACUGUCCUCGGGGGACCUGAAGGGUUAUCUUCUAAUACCAUCGCUUAAUAAAAACAUGCUUGAAAAUGAAUUGUUACGCACAUCAAUAACCAUCUUUGUUUAGUUAAAAGAACUCACCUUCCUAAUUCCACAGUCAGAGACCGAGAGUCCUAGAAUUAAUUGGACACCACUCUACAUGGUGCAUCAAGCAACCCGUUCUACUUGGCCAGCAUUUAGCUCAGAGACUAGCAAACUCAAUUAUCCUUUCCUUACUUGUAGAGUUAUUUCAUCUUGACCCCUUCUAGCUUUAGAACACAUGGUGAUAGAACUCUCUGGAAAACUCAUUUCUCUUAAAGCCAUUAGCAUCUGUUUUUGCACCUUCCGCCUUGCUUACCCUCAGCAUCUGCUUGCAGCCCUUCUGGCCCCUUUCCUAGUAGCCAAUCGUAUUGCAAAGGGCUUUGCCCUCACCUUUGUUGUUGAGAACAUCACUUUCCAUCUCUCCACCCUUCUUUCUCUUUGGUUGUUUUAAGUAUAUUUAUAAAAAAUUGAAAACAACUGGAAGACUUUUUUUCAAUGAGAUGUUAUCAAGAUGGAUAGUUAGCAUCAUGCAAGCUAUUUCGCUGUCUCUCCCUUUUCCCCAGUAACCUCUGCACUAGCUUUCACAGAUUGUGACAUUCUUACGUAGGAAAUGAAGUCCUCCUUACCCGAAGUCUGUUCACCUGUCAGGGGAAGAUAAGAGAAAGGGCCUCCAGUAGCAGGAAAGAUGCUUGCAAUCCCAAUGGAGCGUGCAGGUGAAGGGAAAGAGGAAGCAGAGGUUCACAAGUGUCUCUUGGGCUUUGGCGAAGCUGUGGUUCUCCUGAUUUCUGUGGCUCCUGCUGUUUAGUGACUGCUUUGGGGUUUCUCCAGGCUUCUGACACAAAGAUUCCUAAGAGGCUCCUCUGAUGAUUGUUUCUUCUUUGACAUCCUGGGUUUCCCAGGACUGCCACUGACAAAGCGGCCUUGUCCUGUUCCUCGUCUCUCCAGUAUUGCUGCCUAGUGCCUGUAGCUCUUAGUCAAUGCAUUAGACUAAUUGUCAAAAAUGCAACAAAGUAUUUUUGCUUGUUUAUAAAUAUUUUCUUAUUGCUUACAUGUAGUUGUUCCAUUAUCCUACUACUAAACUUGAUCAUUUCUCUGUUAUGUUUCAAUAUCCAUAUAAGAAGCAGUACAAAGCAGUGGGUAGAGAUCAUAGGUCUUGGUGAGAAACUGUCUAAAUUCUUGUCGUAACUCCAACUAUCACCAGCUGUGUGACUUAGGAAAGCCACUUAAUCUCUCUGUGCUACACUUUCUCAAUCACAAAAUAAAUAUAAUAGUAAUACUAUAGGAACACUAUAUCAAAGGUUAUUGGAAGGAGUUAGUAUCUACAACCCUUGUCCAAACCCUUGAGACUAGAUAUAUUCUAGAAUUAGGAAAUUUUAAUUUUUUAAAAAAGGGUUACAUGGAAUAUGUACGAUGUAUUACAUAAUACCCCAUGACAGAUUUUGGAGAGCAUAGUCAAGCAUAUUAACAAUUCUGCAGGAAAAUAUACAAAUAUUCACAGUAAGUCAAAUAAAUAAAGACUAGAAAUAGCCACAGAGCAGUUCAGGUCAAGUUUUGCCAUCAAAUGAGUUCAAGGUGGGUCAGGUGUUGCUGUCAAAUGAGUUUUGAAAACAGUAUAUUUUGGAGCUGCGACCCCAUGAGUGUGGUGUGUAGCCAAGUGUCAGCACAUACUGAGUUCCCCAAAGACAUUGUCUAUUAUUAUUAAUAUUAUUAUUCAGUAAAAGCAUUUAUUGUGUCGACCACAUACUGUUUAUUUUGACAUAUUUUAUUGUCCUAUGGAACCUCUUGGUUAAGGUCAGGGACCCUCCCUUCCUGUCAGGCAUUGAUUAAUUGAUACUUUCUUUUUUUAAGGCUCUGGGUAAAAACUUCAGAACUUGAAGAGACAGGUGUCAGUCAGAAGAGUUUUUCUAACAAAAUCCUUUUAUUUUCUCCUCUGGAUAAGUUUAAUAUUCAGAUACAGACCACAUUUUUUUAAAAAAUUUUUUUGAAGUAUAAUUGGCGAAUAAAAUUGAAAGAUAUUUAAAGUGUAUAACGCGAUGAUUUGAUAUAUAUAUCAGUGUGAAAGAAUUCCCCUCAUUGAGGUAAUUAACACAUCCAUCACCUCACGUAAGUAGAACGUUCAAGUUCUACUCUCUCAGCAAACUCCAAUUAUAUAACACAGUGUUGUCAAUUAUAGUCAUCAUGUUCUACAUUAGAUUCUUAACUUAUAUAAAUUAUACCUUGGCAUUAGAGCAGAGGAAGACAGGGUACCAUCCUCUGCUAAUAACAGUUUAUUGCAUCUAUAUGUUCACAGAUGAAAGAAGCCUUAUCCCAAGCCAACUGGCCAAGGCCUUGAUUUGCAGGACAGACCUCCCAUAUUUUAAACCCAAAUAUAUCUAGUAAGGUGCCUAAAUGAUAGGAGAGGUUAUCGUUAAAUUUUUUUUCAGGAAAAUUUCUGUAAGUAGUCUGGUCCCUAGUUUUCAUUUUUUAAAAUUCUUUUACUGUUUUAUGAUUAUAGACCAAAAAAAAGAAACAUCCUAUAAAUUUUUCUGUAAGUAUUUGGCCCCGGUUUUCAUUUUUUACUGAUAAAUAACCAACGAUUGAAUAUAAGAAAUCAUAUAUGUAUAUAUACAGAUGUAUGGUAUUAUUUGAUAUAUAGGUAUGAAAAUAUCUAUACAUUCAUAGGUAGAUAGAAAUACAGAUAUCUCCUAUAAGAAAGCCAUCUAGAUUUUUUCCCCCAAAAAACCUUUUUUUCAGGACACAUCUCCUCUAUCCAUUCACAGAAAUGUGACAUUCACUCAGGAGGCCACUUUAUCUCCAGCCUAAAAUUCCGGACGCACUGCACACUUGGUACGCUGCCCUUCAGGAUCACUACCAGUUGAACCUAAAUUCUGCGGCCAUUACCCUGAAAAGUACAUCAGGCUAUGAAACAAGCUCUCAAAGGAAAGCAGUUUUUCAAGCUACAUUAUGGUGCUUUUAAAAGGAAUAAAAUCCUUAAUGAGAAAAUGACUCUCUUGAGACUUCUGGCUCCAAGGUGAGCUUUGCACACUUGCCCUCUCCGUUGGCAGAGAAUCUGUUAAGGGACAUUUCUGGGAACCCAUUCUGUAAAAGGUCCAGGAUGAAAUAGGAUGACAGCCGGUUCUCUGGAGCCUCCGUUGGGCAACUUUAUAAUUCUCUGACAGAUUUUCUCUGAAGCUAUUCCCACACAGCAAUACCCAAAUCACCCAGCCUCCACCCUUCUACAUACCCACCAAGGAGGGAGAAAGUGGGUUGCUAAGGAAUGUGUUGCAACAGCACCUGAUGGAACUAACACUUGUCAGCUAAUAACAGUUUGGUGUGAAUAAACUUAUCAGAAUCUUCCCAAGUGGAUGAGUACAUUGUCAGCUUCUGGAGGACUUGGGCCCUAUAUUUAUUUAUCUUAAUUUCUAUUCACAUCUAGUGCAGUGCUAAAUAAAUAUUUUGGAGUAUCAGCUGAGGUCGGCCUACUCUACAAUAUAGCCCUCAGCUGGCUUCUCCAGUUUGGGCAUGAGAAGCAAGGGGGUCUUUUUCUAGUCCCUGCUGCUCGUUGCUUGAGUCUGCGCCGUAAGUGGUACAAAGACAUGGCAGCUUUUAGAGGUGACCUGGAGCGUGACAGAACUUACCUGGAUCUUGGGCGUGAUGAUUAGGGGAGAAAAUGAUGCUUCAGAUUCAGAAUCAUUCACCAAAUGCUAAGAUGGAUAUUGGGAAUAUUGCUGAAUAAAGGAUAAUGGAAAAUCUCUAAAAAUUACUGUGCGUAAGACUUUCAGCAUCUCUCUAGGUGGUCUCCAUUAGUUGGUGGUGUAAUUUAGGUGUGACGGCCCCUCCUGCAGGAGAGUGGUAAAAUGAAGCUUGAUAAUAGGAUACAGAAAGCAGGAUUGGCUCAUUUUGUUCCUUCCAACUUCCCAGGCACCCACAUUUAAGGCUUCUUGGUAAGUUACAAUGAACACUCUAGCAUUAUGAGAAAUGGAGAUGACACUAAAAUGUAAUUACAUUUAAUUUAUGGAAUACAGAAUAAUAACAUCCUGUAAACUAGGACAAGUAAGAGAAAGAGACAAUCUAAUCUGGUUUCCUGAGCCUCUUUCCUCUCUACCUUUUUAGCAUUAACCAAGGCUCACUGUAACACGUAUUCUAAGGAGAUGGAUUCACUGGCGUGGUUCUUUGUUAUCUUUCCUUUCCCCAGAAAUGUAAUUAAGAAGCAAAUCAUAUUACCUUGAUGACAGAGACAAAGUGUGUCAGAAAUGGCAUUAUUACUGCAAAAUUACAGAAAACACAGACUCCGUUCCCACUUCCAAUUUAUCACAAUAGUGAUAAAAGGUCUGAAUGCUCCUAAACGGUGAAAUUGAAUGAGACUUAUCACCAUUUUGUUACUUUUGAGCAGAACUAAUUUCUUUUCACCCUUAUGGAGUUAAGUAUAUAAUUUACGAUGCAUUUCGCUGCUUCAGACGCUAGUAGUGUAUAUAACAGUAACAAUCCUUGUGUUCUAUUUGGAAGAAGUUUUUUCUCGAGCUCUUAAUUGGUCUAGAAAUUCACAGGAUAAACCUACAAGUCAUCAGAGUGGUAAGCAGUGUUCUUGAUUAAGAAAAGGAGACACAGGGAGUUCAAGGUUUUAUGCAGUUUGUUUAGUUCAAGUUUAUGCAGCAUUUAUUUCCCAGGAGGUAAAAGAUCACCACCUACUUAAUUUCAUGUACCUCCUCCCUCUGAGCUUCUGGGACGUGAUAAAAUCACUGGCGUAUACUAGCUUACCCUGAUGAGAUCUGCUGUCAAAUGUGACCUUUUUGUUCUUGUUCAGGCCAGACCCUGUCACCAACACGUGCCUGGAAGAGGCUUCAAACAUCUGUUUAACUCCCUGUACACUGCCUUUCCCUCUGUUGGCCCACCCAGAGGCUGCAGCAGAUUCCUCCCAUGGUCAGAACGCUGGAAACCAUCCACAGGCUCCAGCAGUGACUCCCAGCAGCUGAGGGGACUUUAUGACAGGACAUGUCCCAAGCUUUUUAUCUUGUUAAGGAGACUAUGAUCAUUUUAGGAGGCCAAUCUCAGCUCAGACAUUGUCCCGGGGGGUCUCUUUCCUCUUUAAAGACUUUCCAACCUAAUUCUCCCUUCCCCAGCCCGGCACUUCGGUAAAGUGCACUGGUUCUCCCAGGAUCUUUGUGUCAGGAGAGGAUAAGAGGAGCCUUUCCUUUUUAGGACAAGAGCAAGAAGAAAAACUCAGAGCUGGGCGUGACAUCAAGACUGACAGAGUGGAAUUUUGCCCUAGCCCUGUGAUCCUGGAACACAGAGAAGGUUAGAGAAACCCCCCCAGGCUUGGUGUUCCAGGAAACAGCAUCCUGCAGAGAAGCCCCCUUCCAUAUAUGACUUAGAUACGCUCACAGAUGCCCCCUCGACAAGGCCAGACACAAACUCUCCAAACUUGUAUUCUUUGCCUCGUACACUGUUCCUCGCUGAACCGCUUGUCCCCACUGAUCACUCAGGACCAAACACUGGUUAACCAAACUUGUUAAGUUCCUGCCCUUCACUCAGGUCUCUGAACUUUAAGCCACCCUGACAACCCCUCCCUAAGAGCCCCUGUCAAGAAUAGGCUGGUCUCACAGUAGAACAUUCUCUGAACUCGUGUCCCACCAGGCCACCCUUAUCCCACUUCCCCACACCUGGCUCUUUCUAGCAUUGUCUGCUCCUCCAGAGAAAGAAAGGCCUUUUCUGCUUAACUCUUGAGACACUCGCAAAUCUCUGGUCAGCGUUCUCCCUGUUCCAGUAGUGCUUUCCCCCAUCUUCCUGCUUAUCCUGGCUUAGGCCCCAUUAAAUGCCUAGAUGGUUCUUCCCCAGUGUCUCUCUGUCUCUCUCUCUCGCAAACAGAUGUACACACUUCUCCAGAAGGGCUCCAAUAUGGCUAUUUUUCUCUAAUAAAGGAACAGGUGUGGUGAUGCACAAGUUACAAGUAACAUACCACAGAAAAGCAGAUUUUUCUUUAUCUCUGAAUUUCUAUCCACUUUUGAUGUCCUCCCAAAUUGCUUGGCAAUCUCAAACCCCGUAUUGAGAUCUCUGUUUUAUGUAGAUGUGUCUUUCAAAACCUGUUGGUAAAGCCAAUCAGUCUGACUCAGAAGAAAAAUAAGCUCAGAAAACACAAGCAAGGCUCGUUUUAAUUGUUUCUUUCCCCUCUCAGUAAACAGAGCAUGAUUUGCCAUAAAAACGUCAAACUGUGGUAUUUAACUGAAUAAAUUCUGAGGAUUUUAGGUAGAAUACAUAAUACUUAUUCUGACAUGGUAUUGUUUCAUGCUCAUUCUAACCUGGUAUUGCAUUCUCAGAAGGGAGAAGAAGUCUUAUAGGUUCGUGUGUUUUAAGUUAAAAAUAGUAUUUGUUUUUCCUAGCAUUCGUGACUAGCCGUGGCCUAGGUAGACUCUCACGGUUUAAGCCUUUUCAAACUAAAUUUGAAGCACCACUAUUCUUUCCUAUCAGAGUAAAACACAUUCUAAAUCCUAAUAAAUCUAUUUCUUUAAUAUGCCACUUGAUGCAUAAUAGUGCAAACACAAACACAUAAUGGGCUCCUCUUGAGAAAGGAAAAUGUAUUCACUCCUGAUGAAAGAUCUUUUGAUAAUUUACUCUUGGCUUCACCACUUGAUUUAUAUCAUCUUCCCACAUUAAUUUGUUUUUAAUUUUUUUUCUGCCUUCUAAGGUUUUUCUCAUUUCAGUGACAUAGACAUGACAGAUGAGGUUGAUGAACUCCGGAAGUGCAGACUCUAACUCAGAUGAAAAGCUUAAAUUAUUGCGCAGUCCUACAGAAUCUGGGGAAGAAACGUCGAAGUCUGGAUUUCCAAGAGCUUGAUCAUAGCAUUUUAGAAACAAGUGAUGUAUUCAAAACAACAAAAACCAUGGUUACAACAGAGUGUAUUUCUUUAGUUAAUACUGAAUGGCUCCCUGGAGUGUGUUUUUUCCAAGUCUUCAGCUAAUUCCAUUGUGUGCUUUAAAAAUGAUGGCAAGGCUAUAGAAGCUCCUUAAAAUCCCUUCUUUAUGAUAGACUUUAAUUUCAAAAAUGUAUUCCUUCUAUGAACUUUAUUUUAAUUUAGAGAAAAGUAAAUAAGUUGUUUAAUUACCUUCAGUGAAGGAAGGAAGUGAUAUAGAUGACAAUGCCUCAAGGUGAAACAUUGUUUUCAAAAAUAAUACGUAAUCCCUUUACAGGUUCUGCUCGUGUACCUUCACAUGGAAGCUCCUAUUCUGUUUUCCGGUCAAGCCUCGCAAAGAUGCUUGGUUUGAGGGCACGGCCCUGGCCAGAACACUGGCACCCCAGCACUUCCUCCUGGAGCCCUGGACUGGAAGCUUUCGGCUCGUUUGCUAAAAUUUAAGGAUCUUUAAUCUGCAACUAAAGGAAGAUGGAAGAAAUCAUAAUCCCAAAUGAAAUUUGGGAUCACCCUGAACAUUACAGUUUAAUCUACUUAACAAAAGAAUAAACUUGGAAAUGAUAAACUGAAUAAUUUUUCUCUAAACUGAAUAUUAUGGAUAAAACUAUGGAACCAUCUCAUUCAGCUAAGAUUACAUACAAUUUUAUUUAUACUGUGGAUCCCAGGAGAAUAUAAAGGUGAGGACACAGAAAUAAGGUGGCUGUCUGAAGGCCAGGAAGGAAGACCUCAUCAGACCCUGAUCAUGUCGGCACCCUGAUCUCAGACGUCCAGACUCUAGAAUUGUGACAAAAUAAAUUUGUGUUGUUUUAAGCCACCA
Molecule: non-coding RNA, 8246 nt
Organism: Equus caballus (horse)
Lineage: Eukaryota; Metazoa; Chordata; Mammalia; Perissodactyla; Equidae
Source: RefSeq, a predicted model, not a curated record